ACAGCUGCAACCAAGCAAGGGGGGAGUGCCACCUCUGCAACUUGUGCCCCCUUACCUUAGUCUCCACAGAAGAUUCUUUGGGGAUAGCUGAUGGCUCUAGAUUCCCUUUCUGCACUCAGGGGAUCCUGUGAAAAAGUCGUUUUUGGAGCUUAACCUCAAUGCCGUUCCCUGGUUCUUCAGUGAAUCCGUUCCUUGUAUACGGCUGCCUCAGUGCUCUACUCCUCUAGGGCCCAAUCCUGCUCCUGGCCAAUCGGGUGCCUGUGGUUUUAAGCCUGGCAAACUCUUCAACCUCAUCUGCAUGUAUUUUGACGUGAAGGUUGGAAAGACGUGAGACUAUAAACCUGACUUCACCUUUCUUGGCUGGUUUUGCUAGCAGAUGUCAUAUAUCAAGAUUUCCGUAAGACAACGCCUGAAAUGAGUGUUUUCCUUUGCUCCAGUUCUGUCAAGCUGAUCUACAGCAAGUUAUGAUCUGAGCCUCUGAAUCUUUAGUGUUGUACUGCAAGACAGCCCAGAAGAAGUUAGUUUUAUUAAAGUCUGGAGCCAUCAGAAAACCUGCCAUGCAGAUGUGAUCACACAAAAACAGCAGCCUCUACCCGCAACAACAGAAUAUAAAAGGUGUUGGGAUUUGCGCUGAGCAUCUCUGGAAUUCCUAACACAUGGUUUUUGUAGUCCUGUGGAGAAAAAUGUGAACAUGGUUUAUAGUCCAUCCCCCAGGGGAAGAGAAGAGGAGAACCAUGCACCAGUGGGGGCAGAGCAGCUUGCACGAGGGGCAGGGAAAG
Molecule: long non-coding RNA, 779 nt
Organism: Malaclemys terrapin pileata
Lineage: Eukaryota; Metazoa; Chordata; Testudines; Emydidae
Exons: 7
Source: RefSeq, a predicted model, not a curated record